This is a transfer RNA of Calocera viscosa, 80 nucleotides long. It matches the Rfam family "tRNA". From Rfam's summary of the family: Transfer RNA (tRNA) molecules are approximately 80 nucleotides in length. Their secondary structure includes four short double-helical elements and three loops (D, anti-codon, and T loops). NCBI's taxonomy places the organism in Eukaryota, Fungi, Basidiomycota, Dacrymycetes, Dacrymycetales, Dacrymycetaceae. The record is from Rfam.
GUCCCCGUGGCCUAAUGGUUAAGGCGUCGGAUUCCGAUGGGACAAUCCGGAGGCUGUGGGUUCGAGUCCCGCCGGGGACU